This 499-nucleotide long non-coding RNA is filed under the name Homo sapiens (human). RNAcentral describes it as "non-protein coding lnc-ACOT7-2:1". Lineage: Eukaryota; Metazoa; Chordata; Mammalia; Primates; Hominidae. The record is from RNAcentral.
GGCUGCCGCUUCAUCGUGGCUGAGAUCGGCCUGGGCUUUGGCGUCUGCUUCCUGCUGCUGGUGGGCGGCAGCGUGGCCAUGGGCGUGAUCUGCACAGCCAUCGCCCUCUUCCAGACGCUGGCCGUGCAGGUGGGGCGCCAGGCCGACCGCCGCGCCUUCACCGUGCCCACCAUCGUGGUGGAGGACGCGCAGGGCAAGCGGCGCUCCUCCAUCGAUGGCUCGGAGCCCGCCAAAACCUCUCUGCAGACCACGGGCCUCGUGACCACCAUAGUCUUCAUCUACGACUGCCUCAUGGGCUUCCCUGUGCUGUGGUGAGCUUCAGCAGCCUGCGGGCCGACGCCUCAGCGCCCUGGAUGGCACUCUGCGUGCUGUGGUGCUCCGUGGCCCAGGCCCUGCUGCUGCCUGUGUUCCUCUGGGCCUGCGACCGCUACCGGGCUGACCUCAAAGCUGUCCGGGAGAAGUGCAUGGCCCUCAUGGCCAACGACGAGGAGUCAGACGA